GCUGAGGUCGCAUAACUAGGUAGUGCGCCAGAUUCUGUAGUUGGUGGGCGAAAGCCCAUGAGGGUUCAAAUCCCUCCCUCAGCG
RNAcentral lists this transfer RNA (84 nucleotides) under Candidatus Micrarchaeota archaeon RBG_16_36_9. RNAcentral describes it as "tRNA-Gln". It matches the Rfam family "tRNA". Rfam says of the family: Transfer RNA (tRNA) molecules are approximately 80 nucleotides in length. Their secondary structure includes four short double-helical elements and three loops (D, anti-codon, and T loops). Lineage: Archaea; Nanobdellati; Microcaldota. The record is from RNAcentral.